RNAcentral lists this ribosomal RNA (417 nucleotides) under uncultured bacterium. RNAcentral describes it as "bacterial SSU rRNA". It matches the Rfam family "Bacterial small subunit ribosomal RNA", at positions 355 to 786 of the family's 1533-position model. The record is from RNAcentral.
UGGGGAAUAUUGGGCAAUGGGCGAAAGCCUUACCCAGCAACGCCGCGUGAGGGAAGAAGGUUUUCGGAUUGUAAACCUCUGUCCUGGGGGACGAAGGAAGUGACGGUACCCCGGGAGGAAGCCCCGGCUAACUACGUGCCAGCAGCCGCGGUAAUACGUAGGGGGCGAGCGUUGUCCGGAAUUAUUGGGCGUAAAGGGCGCGUAGACGGCCGAGUAAGUUAUAGGUGAAAGCCCAUCUUUCAAGGAUGGAAUUGCCUGUAAUACUGCUUGGCUUGAGUGCAGGAGAGGGAAGCGGGAUUCCUAGUGUAGCGGUGAAAUGCGUAGAUAUUAGGAGGAACACCAGUGGCGAAGGCGGCUUUCUGGACUGUAACUGACGUUGAGGCGCGAAAGCGUGGGGAGCAAACAGGAUUAGAUACC